Rattus norvegicus (Norway rat) is the source of this 124-nucleotide small nuclear RNA. The record is from Ensembl. NCBI's taxonomy places the organism in Eukaryota, Metazoa, Chordata, Mammalia, Rodentia, Muridae.
GUGUCGUGCGAAAAGAAAGAAGUUAGCCUUCCCUUGACCGAGACAGAAGAAGCCCUUGAGUUUACUAACACAUGUACAGUCAAGACAUUCGUGCCUGCUUUGCGACAUCUAACCAUUGCUGUGC